This 691-nucleotide long non-coding RNA is filed under the name Populus trichocarpa (black cottonwood). RNAcentral describes it as "long non-coding RNA (PTRI_LNC000757)". Lineage: Eukaryota; Viridiplantae; Streptophyta; Magnoliopsida; Malpighiales; Salicaceae. The record is from RNAcentral.
GAAGUAUAUUGAUCAUGGCCACGGGGGUUUUUCUUUUCUUUUCUUUUUGAUUUUUGUCCGAUGGGCCUAUGCCAUAGGGGAAGCCUAUCCAAAUUUCUGAAUCUGUUUCCAAUAUCUUUGAGGACUCAAACUUGAGACCUGGUAGUGGAAAUCCUAAGUUUUAACUACAGGGGAUCCUUUAAGUUGUGUUUGGUUAGUUUCACACAACAAAAAGAACAAAUACGAAAGGGAUAAAAAUGUUGGUUUGGAGGCACGGAGAUAGUCAAAUAAAUUUGUUGUUGUGAUAGUCAAAUAAUUGAAGAAAUAAUCAAACACGAAUUACAUGAGACCUUUUCAUUCUACCCCAUACGACAAUAAUUGAAGACCAUUGCUUAUGAAAUGGCGGGGGGUUUUUCUUUUCUUUUCUUUUUGAUUUUUGUCCGAUGGGCCUAUGCCAUUGGGGAAGCCUAUCCAAAUUUCUGAAUCCGUUUCCAAUAUCUUUGAGGACUCAAACUCGAGACCUGGUAGUGGAAAUCCUAAGUUUUAACUACAGGGGAUCCUUUAAGUUGUGUUUGGUUAGUUUCACACAACAAAAAGAAUAAAUACGAAAGGGAUAAAUAUGUUGGUUUGGAGGCAUGGAGAUAGUCAAAUAAAUUUGUUGUUGUGAUAGUCAAAUAAUUGAAGAAAUAAUCAAACACCAAUUACAUGAUAC